UGGUGGCGCAGGAGAGUGACGGGUAGGAGAGUCUUCAUCAGUCAUUUAAGUUUCUCUCUAAAGGCGUUUCCUCUUUUUGGCUUCAAAACCUCCACUCAAUCCUCUCCAGAUCUCACUCUCCGAUCUACGAAUCUCGUCUUCUCCGUUCAGCCACCUCGCCGGAGAAAGCGGAUAUUAGUAGCGGUGAAGUAAAUUCCUGCUUCGAUCUCUCACAUCUCAAGUCCGAUCUGGGUUUGAAGAAACAGAUACAAAGAUUCGAUUUUAGGGGGGUGAGAAGAAUGGCGGAAUCAGGAGGAGGAGGAGGGUGGAGAGAUUCGUAUAGAGGGAUGUCCUCUGAUAACAUAAAGGGCUUGGUGCUGGCCAUUUCCUCUAGCUUAUUCAUCGGAGCUAGCUUCAUCGUUAAGAAGAAAGGUCUCAAGAAAGCAGGAGCCACUGGCACUAGGGCUGGUGUUGGUGGGUACUCUUAUCUUUACGAGCCUCUUUGGUGGAUUGGCGUGACAACAAUGUUACUUGGUGAGAUUGCCAAUUUUGCUGCUUAUGCAUUUGCACCUGCUAUACUUGUUACUCCUCUAGGCGCUCUCAGUAUCAUUAUCAGUGCUGUCUUAGCUCAUAUCAUACUACUGGAGAAGCUACACAUCUUUGGAGUUCUUGGCUGCGCCUUAUGUGUUGUGGGUUCCACCACAAUCGUCCUACAUGCCCCUCAAGAACAAGAGAUUGGUUCUGUGCUUGAAGUUUGGAAUCUUGCAACAGAGCCAGCGUUCAUGUUCUAUGCGAGCCUAAUCAUUGGGGCAGCUGUGUUUCUCAUCUUCCGUUAUGUGCCUCAAUAUGGACAGACAAACGUAAUGGUCUACAUCGGUAUUUGUUCGCUUGUAGGAUCAUUAUCGGUAAUGAGCGUUAAAGCACUUGGAAUAGCACUGAAGCUGACAUUUUCUGGAACAAAUCAAUUAUUUUAUCCUCAAACUUGGGUAUUUACAUUGGUUGUACUUACCUGUGUUGUAACCCAAUUGAACUACUUAAACAAGGCACUUGAUACAUUCAAUACAGCUAUAGUAUCUCCUAUAUACUACGUAAUGUUCACAUCACUAACUAUAUUGGCCAGUGUUAUCAUGUUUAAGGACUGGGAUAGGCAAAAUGGCACUCAAAUUGUCACAGAGAUGUGUGGAUUUGUUACAAUACUUUCAGGCACUUUUCUUCUCCAUAGAACCAAGGACAUGGUCGAGGGUAACAAAAUCUAUACUCUCUACCUGCUAUGACUAUGAGGAAGACUAAUAUGCAUAAUCCUAGCUAGAGUUCAUUCAUGAUUGACAAAAAGAUUGCCAUCCGGUUCACCGGUUAUAUUACCAGUGCGUAUAAGCAAGCAUGCUGAUGAGGAUGGGUUUGAAUCAGAAGGCAUUCCACUUAGACGCCAAGAAUCUCUCCGGUCACCUUAAAAGAGUUAUUGCUCAGCCAGAGAGGCUCAACUUUUUUUAUUAUCUCAAUCUACUAUGAACAUGGUCCUAACGAAUACAGAUGGUUCAAGGAGAUGGAGGAAAGUAAAAAAAGAAGCAAAAGAGAACGAGAUCUCACAUAUCUUUCUUAUUCUUGGUAAAUAGGCUGUUACUUGUUCAAACAUACGGUAUUAGCACACACCCACGCAUAAACCCUUUUGUGACCUUCAAGAUUUUUUUUUAUAAAACAGACAUGGGUUGUGCUUAAAUUUGUCUUUUACAAGCAAAUAGUUAUCACUUAAAGUUUUCAAUUCAA
Molecule: RNA transcript, 1743 nt
Organism: Brassica napus (rape)
Lineage: Eukaryota; Viridiplantae; Streptophyta; Magnoliopsida; Brassicales; Brassicaceae
Gene name: probable magnesium transporter NIPA4
Exons: 9
Source: RefSeq, a predicted model, not a curated record